This 249-nucleotide ribosomal RNA is filed under the name uncultured bacterium. RNAcentral's name for it is "partial 16S ribosomal RNA". It matches the Rfam family "Bacterial small subunit ribosomal RNA", at positions 84 to 334 of the family's 1533-position model. The record is from RNAcentral.
UUUGAUGGUGACCGGCGCACGGGUGAGUAACACGUAUCCAACCUGCCGAUGACUCGGGGAUAGCCUUUCGAAAGAAAGAUUAAUACCCGAUGGCAUAGUUCUUCCGCAUGGUAGAACUAUUAAAGAAUUUCGGUCAUCGAUGGGGAUGCGUUCCAUUAGGUUGUUGGCGGGGUAACGGCCCACCAAGCCUUCGAUGGAUAGGGGUUCUGAGAGGAAGGUCCCCCACAUUGGAACUGAGACACGGUCCAA